Molecule: ribosomal RNA, 714 nt
Filed under: Triticum aestivum (bread wheat)
Lineage: Eukaryota; Viridiplantae; Streptophyta; Magnoliopsida; Poales; Poaceae
Description: partial small subunit ribosomal RNA
Source: RNAcentral
AUGGCUAGUAAUUGGAGUUUCAGACAAUUUGGGGAGGUAAUUUGUAGCCAAUAUCCUUGGGGUUUGCUUGAUGAAGUGGUAUACAAAUACUAUGAUGGGGAAAAGAAUUGGGUGACAGUUAGUAAUGAUGAAGAGCUAGCUACCAUGUUUGUUAGGCAUAAAGAGAAAGAUAAUUUUCAUGUGAGGCUGCAAGUUGAUGUGCUUGAGCAGGCAUUUGGACCUAGGAUGACGGGUGCAACAUCUCGGGGAGAACCAAGUCAUCGUAAUGGCAUCUCUAGCCAGAACAGUUCAGUUGGUGCACGGCGACGUGGUGGCUCGACAAGUGUGGGCAACAGCAGUAGGGUCCCCCUUGAAGUGGAGCCUGAUGACUACAAUUCUGGGGUUGAUGAAGAGAAGCUAUAUUCUGAUGUUAUUCGGAAUUUACGACGGGCACCUCGGACUGAAAACCAAGAUGAGGCUCAUAAUGCAGUCCAUGUGGAUGAUGACGCGGUGGGUGAGGACGAAGACCUUGCAGCUGUUGAACGGGACCCUUUGAACCCUCAUAUGGAAGAAGGUACAGUUUUUGCAUCCAUGAAUGAGUGUAGAAAUGCACUUGUGACAUACUGCAUCAAGGUAGAACGUACUUUCAAAGUUGACAAGAGCGAUCAAGUACGUUACAGAGUGCACUGUCUGACUGAGGGUUGUCCAUGGAGGCUGCUCGCAUCUAAAAUGUGA